GGAAGUAAAAGUCGUGACAAGGUAUCCGUAGGUGAACCUGCGGAAGGAUCAUUAUUGUAUAACCGAGGUGCGAGGGCUGUCGCUGACCCGAAAGGUCGUGCACGCCCGAGUGCCCUCACACACAUCCAUCUCACCCCUAUGUGCACCACCGCGUGGGUCCCCCUUUGGCUUGUUCGGAGGGGGGCUUACGUUUUCACACAAACUUUGUAUGCAGUGUAGAAUGUAUUUUUUGUUUUUGCGAUCACGCAAUCAAUACAACUUUCAACAACGGAUCUCUUGGCUCUU
This 285-nucleotide unclassified non-coding RNA is filed under the name plant metagenome. RNAcentral describes it as "partial contains small subunit ribosomal RNA, internal transcribed spacer 1, and 5.8S ribosomal RNA". The stretch from base 1 to 54 matches the Rfam family "Eukaryotic small subunit ribosomal RNA", at positions 1778 to 1831 of the family's 1831-position model. The record is from RNAcentral.